Dermochelys coriacea (leatherback sea turtle) is the source of this 161-nucleotide long non-coding RNA. RefSeq lists it as uncharacterized. The transcript has 4 exons. The record is from RefSeq and is a predicted model, not a curated record. NCBI's taxonomy places the organism in Eukaryota, Metazoa, Chordata, Testudines, Dermochelyidae.
AUCAUAGAAGAUGAGGGUUGGAAGAGACCUCAGGAGGUCAUCUAGUCCAACCCCUUGCUCAAAGCAGGACCAAUCCCCAACUAAAUCAUCCCAGCCAGGGCUUUGUCAAACCAGGCCUGAAAAACCUCUACGGAUGGAGGUAGGCUUGGUCUGCUUCUCCC